RNAcentral lists this ribosomal RNA (259 nucleotides) under uncultured bacterium. RNAcentral's name for it is "partial 16S ribosomal RNA". It matches the Rfam family "Bacterial small subunit ribosomal RNA", at positions 1233 to 1500 of the family's 1533-position model. The record is from RNAcentral.
GCAGGUACAGCGGGAAGCCAGGCGGCGACGCCGAGCGGAACCCGAAAACCUGUCUCAGUUCGGAUCGGAGUCUGCAACCCGACUCCGUGAAGCUGGAUUCGCUAGUAAUCGCGCAUCAGCCAUGGCGCGGUGAAUACGUUCCCGGGCCUUGUACACACCGCCCGUCAAGCCAUGGAAGCCGGGGGUGCCUGAAGUGUGCAGCCGCAAGGAGCGCCCUAAGGUAAAACCGGUGACUGGGGCUAAGUCGUAACAAGGUAUC